GUUGUAUGGUUAAGUGACUAAGCGUACACGGUGGAUGCCUUGGCAGUCAGAGGCGAUGAAAGACGUAGUAACUUGCGAUAAGCCCAGAUUAGGUAGUAACAACCAUUUGAGUCUGGGAUUUCUGAAUGGGGAAACCCACUUACAUAAGUAAGUAUCAUUAACUGAAUACAUAGGUUAAUGAGGCGAACCGGGGGAACUGAAACAUCUAAGUACCCCGAGGAAAAGAAAUCAACCGAGAUUCCGAAAGUAGCGGCGAGCGAAAUUGGACUAGCCCUUAAGCUUUACACGCGUUAGACGAACGGUCUGGAAAGUCCGACGAUACAGGGUGAUAGUCCCGUAGUUGACGACGUGUGUUCAGUGAAAUCGAGUAGGGCGGGACACGUGAUAUCCUGUCUGAAUAUGGGGGGACCAUCCUCCAAGGCUAAAUACUACUGACUGACCGAUAGUGAACCAGUACCGUGAGGGAAAGGCGAAAAGAACCCCUGUGAGGGGAGUGAAAUAGAACCUGAAACCGUGUACGUACAAGCAGUAGGAGCAGGCUUUGUCCUGUGACUGCGUACCUUUUGUAUAAUGGGUCAGCGACUUAUAUUCAGUGGCAAGGUUAACCAUCUAGGGGAGCCGUAGGGAAACCGAGUCUUAACUGGGCGUUCAGUCUCUGGAUAUAGACCCGAAACCAGGUGAUCUAGCCAUGGGCAGGUUGAAGGUUGAGUAACAUCAACUGGAGGACCGAACCGACUAAUGUUGAAAAAUUAGCGGAUGACUUGUGGCUAGGGGUGAAAGGCCAAUCAAACCUGGAGAUAGCUGGUUCUCCCCGAAAGCUAUUUAGGUAGCGCCUCGGACGAAUACUACUGGGGGUAGAGCACUGUUAAGGCUAGGGGGUCAUCCCGACUUACCAACCCUUUGCAAACUCCGAAUACCAGUAAGUACUAUCCGGGAGACACACGGCGGGUGCUAACGUCCGUCGUGGAGAGGGAAACAACCCAGACCGCCAGCUAAGGUCCCAAAUUACUACUAAGUGGGAAACGAUGUGGGAAGGCUCAGACAGCCAGGAUGUUGGCUUAGAAGCAGCCAUCAUUUAAAGAAAGCGUAAUAGCUCACUGGUCGAGUCGGCCUGCGCGGAAGAUGUAACGGGGCUAAGUAGUAAACCGAAGCUGCGGCAAUAUACUUUUGUAUAUUGGGUAGGGGAGCGUUCUGUAAGCGGUUGAAGGUGUGUGGUAACGCAUGCUGGACGUAUCAGAAGUGCGAAUGCUGACAUGAGUAACGAUAAAGGGGGUGAAAAACCUCCUCGCCGGAAGACCAAGGGUUCCUGUCCAACGUUAAUCGGGGCAGGGUAAGUCGACCCCUAAGGCGAGGCCGAAAGGCGUAGUCGAUGGGAAACGGGUUAAUAUUCCCGUACUUCUUACAAUUGCGAUGGGGGGACGGAGAAGGCUAGGUGGGCCUGGCGACGGUUGUCCAGGUUCAAGUGCGUAGGCUUAAGAGUUAGGUAAAUCCGGCUCUUUCUAAGGCUGAGACACGACGUCGAGCACCUACGGGUGUGAAGUCAUUGAUGCCAUGCUUCCAGGAAAAGCCUCUAAGCUUCAGAUUGUAAGGAAUCGUACCCCAAACCGACACAGGUGGUCGGGUAGAGAAUACCAAGGCGCUUGAGAGAACUCGGGUGAAGGAACUAGGCAAAAUGGUACCGUAACUUCGGGAGAAGGUACGCUCUUGAUGGUGAAGUCCCUUGCGGAUGGAGCUGACGAGAGUCGCAGAUACCAGGUGGCUGCAACUGUUUAUUAAAAACACAGCACUGUGCAAAAUCGUAAGAUGACGUAUACGGUGUGACGCCUGCCCGGUGCCGGAAGGUUAAUUGAUGGGGUUAGACUUCGGUCGAAGCUCUUGAUCGAAGCCCCGGUAAACGGCGGCCGUAACUAUAACGGUCCUAAGGUAGCGAAAUUCCUUGUCGGGUAAGUUCCGACCUGCACGAAUGGCGUAAUGAUGGCCACGCUGUCUCCACCCGAGACUCAGUGAAAUUGAAAUCGCUGUGAAGAUGCAGUGUACCCGCGGCUAGACGGAAAGACCCCGUGAACCUUUACUACAGCUUGGCACUGAACAUUGACCCUACAUGUGUAGGAUAGGUGGGAGGCUUUGAAGCACGUACGCCAGUAUGUGUGGAGCCGUCCUUGAAAUACCACCCUUGUAGUGUUGAUGUUCUAACGUCGACCCCUUAUCGGGGUUGCGGACAGUGCCUGGUGGGUAGUUUGACUGGGGCGGUCUCCUCCCAAAGAGUAACGGAGGAGCACGAAGGUGGGCUAAUCACGGUUGGACAUCGUGAGGUUAGUGCAAUGGCAUAAGCCCGCUUGACUGCGAGAAUGACAAUUCGAGCAGGUGCGAAAGCAGGUCAUAGUGAUCCGGUGGUUCUGAAUGGAAGGGCCAUCGCUCAACGGAUAAAAGGUACUCCGGGGAUAACAGGCUGAUACCGCCCAAGAGUUCAUAUCGACGGCGGUGUUUGGCACCUCGAUGUCGGCUCAUCACAUCCUGGGGCUGAAGUCGGUCCCAAGGGUAUGGCUGUUCGCCAUUUAAAGUGGUACGCGAGCUGGGUUUAGAACGUCGUGAGACAGUUCGGUCCCUAUCUGCCGUGGGCGUUGGAAGAUUGAAGGGGGCUGCUCCUAGUACGAGAGGACCGGAGUGGACGAACCUCUGGUGUUCGGGUUGUGUCGCCAGACGCAUUGCCCGGUAGCUAAGUUCGGAAUCGAUAACCGCUGAAAGCAUCUAAGCGGGAAGCGAGCCCUGAGAUGAGUCUUCCCUGAUACUUUAAGUAUCCUAAAGGGUUGUCGGAGACUACGACGUUGAUAGGUCAGGUGUGUAAGUGCUGUGAGGCAUUGAGCUAACUGAUACUAAUUGCCCGUGAGGCUUAACCAUACAACACCCAAGGGGUUU
Molecule: ribosomal RNA, 2916 nt
Filed under: Vibrio parahaemolyticus
Lineage: Bacteria; Pseudomonadati; Pseudomonadota; Gammaproteobacteria; Vibrionales; Vibrionaceae
Description: bacterial LSU rRNA
Rfam family: Bacterial large subunit ribosomal RNA
Source: RNAcentral